AGUUCGUUUCUAAUUUUACAUUCAACUGUAUUGAUAUUUUUUUUCGCCAUCUGUUUAUAAAAUGAGCAACAAGAAUAAGACAGUGUUUGUCACGGUUGGAACGACGCAGUUCGACCAACUCGUACUGAAAGUCGCCACAGAAGAAAUAUGCCAGAAAUUAAAUGAUCUUGGUUUCAAGAGAAUGAUUAUACAAGCUGGACAUAGCAAACCCCCAUCGAAAAAGGCAGUAGCUGGUGUUGAAAUUUCUACCUUUGAUUUCAAGGAUUCAAUCUUAGAAUAUCUCCAAAAAGCCCAUCUGGUGAUAAGCCAUGCAGGUGCUGGUACCACUAUGGAGACACUUAAUGAAGGCAAGCCACUAAUAACGGUGGUUAAUGAAAAAUUAAUGAACAACCAUCAAAUAGAACUGGCUGAACAAAUGUCGAAAGAUGGUUACUCUUUGUUUUGUACUUGCAGCGGUCUUCGUGAAACACUGAAUAGAUUUGAUAAAAUGGUUUUUGAAACAUACAUUCCUGGAGAUCCGACAAAAUUUGGAAUAUUCAUGGAUAAAGUUGUUGGCUUCUCCUGAUGAACCGAUUCUUCACUCUGACCAAACUCUGACUCGGAGCCCCCCUCUCCCAAAUUUCUUCAAUUUUCAUUUUGCAACAUUUUUUUUUCCUCUCAUCAUUCCUCUUAGUCUUUGUUCCUUUCUGUUUGUUACAUUUUUGUUUUCGUUUUUUUUUUUGUUAUUUACAUGUUUAGUAAUGAUUUCAACAUUUAGGCUCAAGCCAACAAUGUUGAGGCCGGACAGCAUGGAGUAGUCUAUACCAGCAGCUAAUUGACCUGAAGGAACUUGGGACACUGCAGACAACAUCAAAGGACUAAAUGCAGCAACACACA
Octopus sinensis (East Asian common octopus) is the source of this 876-nucleotide RNA transcript. It is a transcript of the gene named UDP-N-acetylglucosamine transferase subunit ALG13 homolog, with no coding region annotated. Lineage: Eukaryota; Metazoa; Mollusca; Cephalopoda; Octopoda; Octopodidae. The record is from RefSeq and is a predicted model, not a curated record. The transcript has 5 exons.